RNAcentral lists this ribosomal RNA (253 nucleotides) under uncultured bacterium. RNAcentral describes it as "partial 16S ribosomal RNA". It matches the Rfam family "Bacterial small subunit ribosomal RNA", at positions 524 to 776 of the family's 1533-position model. The record is from RNAcentral.
GACGACGGGGGCUAGCGUUGUUCGGAAUUACUGGGCGUAAAGCGCGUGUAGGUGGUUGUCAUAGUCAGGCGUGAAAGCCUUGAGCUCAACUCAAGAAAUGCGCUUGAUACUGGGCAGCUAGAGGACCGGAGAGGAUAGUGGAAUUCCCAGUGUAGUGGUGAAAUACGUAGAGAUUGGGAAGAACACCAGUGGCGAAGGCGGCUAUCUGGACGGUUUCUGACACUAAGACUCGAAAGCGUGGGGAGCAAACAGG